RNAcentral lists this ribosomal RNA (394 nucleotides) under uncultured bacterium. RNAcentral's name for it is "bacterial SSU rRNA". It matches the Rfam family "Bacterial small subunit ribosomal RNA", at positions 27 to 422 of the family's 1533-position model. The record is from RNAcentral.
GGACGAACGCUGGCGGCGUGCUUAACACAUGCAAGUCGAGCGGUAAGGCCCUUUCGGGGGUACACGAGCGGCGAACGGGUGAGUAACACGUGGGUGACCUGCCCUCAGCUCUGGGAUAAGCCUGGGAAACCGGGUCUAAUACCGGAUAUGACUCCAUGACGCAUGUUGUGGGGUGGAAAGCCUUGUGCGGCUGAGGAUGGGCCCGCGGCCUAUCAGCUUGUUGGUGGGGUGAUGGCCUACCAAGGCGACGACGGGUAGCCGGCCUGAGAGGGCGACCGGCCACACUGGGACUGAGACACGGCCCAGACUCCUACGGGAGGCAGCAGUGGGGAAUCUUGCGCAAUGGGCGAAAGCCUGACGCAGCGACGCCGCGUGAGGGAUGACGGCCUGGUGU